RNAcentral lists this long non-coding RNA (773 nucleotides) under Elaeis guineensis (African oil palm). Its description in RNAcentral is "long non-coding RNA (EGUI_LNC048104)". Lineage: Eukaryota; Viridiplantae; Streptophyta; Magnoliopsida; Arecales; Arecaceae. The record is from RNAcentral.
GGUGAUGGUGCUAGUGUGGCGAGAUGAAGCUCUUUUGGAUGGCAUGGUUGUAUUGCUCUUGAUCUGUGCUCCUCCGAAUAGGGACAGCCCUUCCUCUAGCGCUAAUCUGUUGGUGCAAGAUUCUAUAUGGCAUCGAAAUGCUAGAAUGGAUGGCAAAAGGGGUCUCUCGGGGGUAUGACCUGCAUAAAAGUGCUAAUCAGAGGUUGCUCCGGUGGGGACCCUCCGACUGUUAGGUUAGAAUUCUUGUUCAAUAGAUGGAGCAUGAGAGGUAGAAUAAUGAUGUACCUUUUUUAGGAUCUCCUUUGGACCUCCUUUUAUGGAUGAAGGUGGGAGCUUUCAUUGGUAAGUCGAUUAGCAUGAUCCCAUCUGAUUGGGAUGCAAUUUGUGUGUAGUAACGAAACUAUUGUUCGAAACUCUCAGGAUAUGGUGGUUAUGAUUGCCUUAUCCAUUUUGUGACAAUCAUUAUCUAGCAGGUAAUGAAUUUUGAGCUGGUGUGCUAAAUUGAUAUCAACGAGCUGAAGAUUGGUCGGUCAUGAGUAGAAGUCAGAUGCUCUUUGCCGUCCUCAGAUGCGAAAGUCAGGAGCUGGGGGCUCAUUCAACAGUGGAAGGCUGAUCGAUCGAAAGUGAUCAAUGGAAGACCAUCAUCUGGUCAGAGCUAAUCAUUCGAGUGAAUUGAUGACUCAUUGGCCCAGCCUAUAGGGAUCGGCCAUUAAGAAAAUGUCGGUAGUCUUGGAUAAGAAUUAUCAAGCACCAGUCGGUGGAUCUUCAUCUGC